Vombatus ursinus (common wombat) is the source of this 268-nucleotide long non-coding RNA. RefSeq lists it as uncharacterized. NCBI's taxonomy places the organism in Eukaryota, Metazoa, Chordata, Mammalia, Diprotodontia, Vombatidae. The record is from RefSeq and is a predicted model, not a curated record. The transcript is spliced from 3 exons.
UCCAAGGCCUUGGCCAUGCGUCUUCUCCCGCGUCAUUCUGAUGGGCCACCGGGCACAGGUUCCCUGACUGACAGGGAACUGCAGGCUGCCAGGCUCGGCACCCCGCCUUAAACCCAGACCCCCUAGGUCUGUAAUAGAAACCUGUGUAGGUACCCAGAGCGAACCAACAUAUUGAUCAUGUCAGAGGCAACUACUGCAACUUGCCCAAUUCAAGUCCACUCCCCAGUUGUAAAUUGCUAACACCUCUUCCCUCUGCCCUCCCUCUUCC